This 876-nucleotide ribosomal RNA is filed under the name Pyrenula ochraceoflava. RNAcentral describes it as "partial large subunit ribosomal RNA". It matches the Rfam family "Eukaryotic large subunit ribosomal RNA", at positions 52 to 944 of the family's 3401-position model. The record is from RNAcentral. Lineage: Eukaryota; Fungi; Ascomycota; Eurotiomycetes; Pyrenulales; Pyrenulaceae.
AUAGGAGAAAGACCACCAGGGAUUGCCCUAGUAACGGCGAGUGAAGCGGCAACAGCUCAAAUUUGAAAUCUGGCCCGUCCCCGGGUCCGAGUUGUAAUUUGGAGAGGAUGCUUCGGGCAAGGCUGCGGUCCAAGUUCCUUGGAACAGGACGUCAGAGAGGGUGAGAAUCCCGUCUUCAACCGUAAGCCGCGUCCAUGUGAAGCUCCUUCGACGAGUCGGGUUGUUUGGGAAUGCAGCUCAAAAUGGGUGGUAAAUUUCAUCUAAAGCUAAAUACCGGCCAGAGACCGAUAGCGCACAAGUAGAGUGAUCGAAAGAUGAAAAGCACUUUGAAAAGAGAGUUAAACAGCAUGUGAAAUUGUUGAAAGGGAAGCGCUUGCAGCCAGACUUGUGGGCGGUGAUUCAGCCGUUCUUCUGAACGGUGCACUUUGCCGUCUCCAGGCCAGCAUCGGUUCGGGCAGCCAGUUAAAGGCUCGGGGAAUGUAUCAAUCCUUCGGGGUUGACUUAUAGCCUCGGGUGCCAUGUGGCUCGCCGGGACCGAGGAACGCGCAUCUGCACGGAUGCUGGCGUAAUGGCUGUCAGCGACCCGUCUUGAAACACGGACCAAGGAGUCUAACAUCUAUGCGAGUGUUCGGGUGCCAAACCCUUGCGCGUAAUGAAAGUGAACGGAGGUAGGAACCCUCACGGGUGCACUAUCGACCGAUCCUGAUGUUCUCGGAUGGAUUUGAGUAAGAGCAUAGCUGUUGGGACCCGAAAGAUGGUGAACUAUGCGUGUAUAGGGUGAAGCCAGAGGAAACUCUGGUGGAGGCUCGCAGCGGUUCUGACGUGCAAAUCGAUCGUCAAAUACGCGUAUAGGGGCGAAAGACUAAUCGAACCAUU